This 253-nucleotide ribosomal RNA is filed under the name uncultured bacterium. Its description in RNAcentral is "partial 16S ribosomal RNA". It matches the Rfam family "Bacterial small subunit ribosomal RNA", at positions 524 to 776 of the family's 1533-position model. The record is from RNAcentral.
UACGUAGGGCGCAAGCGUUGUCCGGAAUUAUUGGGCGUAAAGAGCUCGUAGGCGGCCUGUUGCGUCCGCUGUGAAAUCCCGGGGCUCAACCCCGGGCCUGCAGUGGAUACGGGCUGGCUAGAGGCAGGCAGGGGAGAACGGAAUUCCUGGUGUAGCGGUGAAAUUCGUAGAUAUCGGGAGGAACACCAGUGGCGAAGGCGGCGAUCUGGGAAGAUACUGACGCUGAGGUGCGAAAGCGUGGGGAGCAAACAGG